This 464-nucleotide ribosomal RNA is filed under the name uncultured bacterium. Its description in RNAcentral is "bacterial SSU rRNA". It matches the Rfam family "Bacterial small subunit ribosomal RNA", at positions 33 to 507 of the family's 1533-position model. The record is from RNAcentral.
ACGACGCUGGCGGCGUGCUUAACACAUGCAAGUCGAACGGUGAACCAGAGCUUGCUCUGGGGAUCAGUGGCGAACGGGUGAGUAACACGUGGGCAACCUGCCCCAGACUCUGGGAUAACUCCGGGAAACCGGAGCUAAUACCGGAUAUGACUACUUCGGACAUCCGACGGUAGUGGAAAGUUUUUCGGUCUGGGAUGGGCCCGCGGCCUAUCAGCUAGUUGGUGGGGUAAUGGCCUACCAAGGCGACGACGGGUAGCCGGCCUGAGAGGGCGACCGGCCACACUGGAACUGAGACACGGUCCAGACUCCUACGGAAGGCAGCAGUGGGGAAUAUUGCACAAUGGGCGAAAGCCUGAUGCAGCGACGCCGCGUGAGGGACGACGGCCUUCGGGUUGUAAACCUCUUUCAGCAGGGACGAAGCGAAAGUGACUGUACCUGCAGAAGAAGCACCGGCUAACUACGUG